UACAGAGGUCUCAAGCGUUGUUCGGAUUCAUUGGGCGUAAAGGGUGUGUAGGUGGCGCCGUAAGUCGGGUGUGAAAUUUCGGAGCUUAACUCCGAAACUGCAUUCGAUACUGCGGUGCUUGAGGACUGGAGAGGAGACUGGAAUUCAUGGUGUAGCAGUGAAAUGCGUAGAGAUCAUGAGGAAGACCAGUGGCGAAGGCGGGUCUCUGGACAGUUCCUGACACUGAGACACGAAGGCCAGGGGAGCAAACGGG
This 253-nucleotide ribosomal RNA is filed under the name uncultured bacterium. RNAcentral describes it as "partial 16S ribosomal RNA". It matches the Rfam family "Bacterial small subunit ribosomal RNA", at positions 524 to 776 of the family's 1533-position model. RNAcentral also lists the same sequence under 1 other name. The record is from RNAcentral.